CAGCCGCCACGGUAAUGCGUAGGGUGCAAGCGUUAAUCGGAAUCACUGGGCGUAAAGCGUGCGUAGGCGGUUUGUUAAGUCUGUUGUGAAAUCCCCGGGCUCAACCUGGGAAUGGCAAUGGAUACUGGCAAGCUAGAGUGUGACAGAGGAUGGUGGAAUUCCCGGUGUAGCGGUGAAAUGCGUAGAUAUCGGAAGGAACACCUGUGGCGGAAGCGGCUCACUGGACCAUUUCUGACGCUGAUGCACGAAAGCUAGGGGAGCAAACAGGAUUAGAUACCCCCGUAGUCCCUGUCUCUUAUAA
RNAcentral lists this ribosomal RNA (301 nucleotides) under uncultured bacterium. RNAcentral's name for it is "partial 16S ribosomal RNA". It matches the Rfam family "Bacterial small subunit ribosomal RNA", at positions 509 to 809 of the family's 1533-position model. The record is from RNAcentral.